This 243-nucleotide ribosomal RNA is filed under the name Acanthamoeba sp. AKSI011. Its description in RNAcentral is "partial 18S ribosomal RNA". It matches the Rfam family "Eukaryotic small subunit ribosomal RNA", at positions 943 to 1095 of the family's 1831-position model. The record is from RNAcentral. Lineage: Eukaryota; Discosea; Longamoebia; Acanthamoebidae.
CUGCGAAAGCAUCUGCCAAGGAUGUUUUCAUUAAUCAAGAACGAAAGUUAGGGGAUCGAAGACGAUCAGAUACCGUCGUAGUCUUAACCAUAAACGAUGCCGACCAGCGAUUAGGAGACGUUGAAUACAAAACACCACCAUCGGUGCGGUCGUCCUUGGCGUCUCGGUCCUUCACGGGGCCGGGGCGCGGGGGUGGCUUAUGCCGGUGGCGCCGGUGAAUGACUCCCCUAUGAGCUAGUGAGA